UAGUUGGCGGGGCAACGGCCCACCAAGGCGACGAUGUCUAGGGGUUCUGAGAGGAAGGUCCCCCACACUGGUACUGAGACACGGACCAGACUCCUACGGAAGGCAGCAG
This 109-nucleotide ribosomal RNA is filed under the name uncultured bacterium. RNAcentral's name for it is "partial 16S ribosomal RNA". It matches the Rfam family "Bacterial small subunit ribosomal RNA", at positions 246 to 354 of the family's 1533-position model. The record is from RNAcentral.